Molecule: long non-coding RNA, 5152 nt
Filed under: Volvox carteri
Lineage: Eukaryota; Viridiplantae; Chlorophyta; Chlorophyceae; Chlamydomonadales; Volvocaceae
Description: long non-coding RNA (VCAR_LNC003495)
Source: RNAcentral
GGAUCUGUACAUUACGCGCCACCAGUCGUUUGGGUUUACCCAAUAGAAGAGCGCACUUGUGUCGGUACAGCGGUGUGGUGUGUACGACACUCAUGGGCUAGUUUCAGAGCGUGCGUGUACAGGAGCAUGUACAGGAAGAUAGGUGUUUUGUUAUGAUUAUUUGCGGCAGCCUGUGGAAGCAGUCCCAUUGGACAUUUUAUGGGUGUGCAAGUUAGUGUUAUGUACAUAUGACGGGAUGUCAAGCGGACGGCAGGCUGUUGUUCUUCUUCUGCAUGGUUUCCGAGCAUGCAUACGCGAGCAUGCAUACGGUGGGACAGAGCGCUUGGUGCCAAGCAUGUUAAACGAACGUUGCGAAAGCUGUGCGACGUGUAACAGUCGAGGAAAGGUUGCGUCACAGAUGUCACGGAUACCGUUUUUGGUUAGAUAACGGCACCACCGACGUGGUAAAGGAGUGCAGCGGGUAACACAAGCAUAUGUACAGCCUUACAGCCUUUCUAUCCCUAUCCUCCGGGGUAUCAAUCCCAAUCCAGGCCCAAGGCAAUCUCAAUCCAACGGUAGCGUCUAUCUCAAUCCAACGGUACUACACUCUCAAUCCAACGGUAACCCGAUCUCAAUCCACCUCGGUCUCAAUCUCAAUCCCUCCACAGUCAAUCUCAAUCCCCCCGUCAGUCUAUCUCAAUCCCCGGUUGAUCUAUCCCAAUCCUGGCGACCACCCUACCAACUCAAUCCAACCGUACUUGCCAUCCCUCCUCGGAUGACAAGGAAGACAACUUGUCCGGUUUGAAACUGUGAAGAUAGAACUCCGAGAAAGUUUGAUUUAUAAUUAGGGUUUAAGUUAACUCCUUCCGCUUUCCAUCCUUGCCACCCUUUAGUGGGUUACACUCGAUAGGCUGAUCUUCAAUUUCUGAAAUUGUAGUAGAUGGUCGCUGGAAAGGCCUUCUCAAAAUGCUGGCUGGGCACUUUAGGGCGCAUUUAUAGGCUAUGUAAUUGUAAUUGUAAUUGAAAUUGUAAUUGUAAUUGUAAUAUUACAGAGUGGGAGGCUUCUGGGCCGCUUUAUCACAUUGUAAGUUCUACGAUUUUAUCACCUUAUAGCACCAUCUGUUGUAAUUCCGGUCAGACUUCCUAGGCUUUUAUAGCUUGUUGUCGCGAUAAGCGUUGUACUACGAUUGGUGUGAUUCAUAGUUGGGUCUUAUCGUACGGAGUUGAUCUAUUGGUACUAUUUGUACCCUGAGGCAAGACUUCUCUAACAAGCUGAUUGUAACAACUAUUGCUCAUUGGGACUUUGGAGUGUCCUUCGAGAUAGGGCAUAGUGUCAGCUCGCUUAUCCAGCUCGUGCUUAACUGGAUCUUGUGUCAGCUAUUUCUGGCUAUUUACGAAUAGUCACAACGGGUUAUGAGCCCCGCUUGACGUUGCGGUGGCUGCAGUGAUCGUACGCUUUGUUGAGCGCAUACAUUUUAAACACCCAUUUCUGAGUCAUACGUGAUUCUUUGAAAGAAUGUCCGACAUUGCUGGUUGGAGAGAUAUGCUGAUUGUUGUGACUAUUCGUAAAUAGCCAGAAAUAGCUGAGACACGAUCCAGUUAAGCACGAGCUGGAUAAGCGAGCUGACACUAUGCCCUAUCUCGAAGGACACUCCAAAGUCCCAAUGAGCAAUAGUUGUUACAAUCAGCUGAAUAAAGAAGUCUUGCCUCAGGGUAUAAAUAGUACCAAUAGAUCAGGUCCGUACGAUAAGACCCAACUAUGAAUCACACCAAUCGUAGUACAACGCUUAUCGCGACAUCAAGCUAUAAAAGCCUAGGAAGUCUGACCGGAAUUACAACACUCCCCCGCGGACAGACUUCCAUACAACAAAUAACUACUCAGCUAUUUCAUAAGGCACAGCGGUGAUGGCUGAAGUGGAAUAAACCCAAGAAAAAUUGAACCGUCGCCAAGAGAGAAAAACAACCCAGAUGUAGAACGCCAUCAAGCCAAGUCCGAAUCGCAACAAUCCUUCGACGUUUAAGUUGUCGAGGAAAAAGAUACCGACAUUCUGAGUACUCGACAAAAUGCGAUACUUUAGAGCUGCUUCUACUGAACUCCAAUGCGCCGAAGCUAGAGCUUCCACGUUGAAAAAGAUAUCAGGACGUGAACAUAUCAACAAAUAAAGCAAAUAGAGCAGAUGAAGCAUGAGGAGAGAGUUAGGCUGUUUAGCCCAAGUGUAAGAACGCGUAGCAGCAAGGGGGGCGGAGAUACUAGCAGCUAUAACUUCUCCCUCAAUCUCAGCUGCCUCCAGCUCAGCUGCCUCCACCUCAGCUGCCUCUGCCUCCAACUCAGGUUCCUCCCCCUCAUUGAAAACUCCCUCAUCGUACUCCUCUUCCCCCGCAUCUUCCUCCAGCAGAGGGGGAAGGUCCUCCUCAGUGUCCAUGCCGGCCUCAUCCGCAUUUCCCGCGGGGGCUCCAGCAGCAGGAACAAUGGGAGCAACACCUGCAUUACCCACGCCGGCCUCUCCUGCCUCUUCCGCAGGGGCACCAGCAGCAUGAGCAACCACAGGGACAACCCUGCCGGCCUCACCCGCCUCUUCCGCAGGGGCACCAGCAGCAGGGACAAACCAAUAAUCAGACGCAGAUGCCUCAGUAACGCCGUUGCGGCCACGAAAAUGAAACUUAUCCUCAUGAAAAUCGACGUUUCGAGACACAAUAAUACGUCCAUCACCAACCAAGAUCCGAUAUGCCUUUGAGUUCGGCUCGUAUCCUAGGAAGGUGCCUCUAUAGGCCCUUGGAUCGAGUUUGCCACCCUGACCCCUGGGAACCUGAACAUAUGCUAUGCAGCCAAAUACCUUAAACCAAGACACAUCAGGAAUCUCCCCCGUUAACAACUCAUACGGGGUUUUCGAUUUCCCCGAAACAGGUGAACGAUUUCUGACAAAAGAUGCAACACUCAAAGCCUCAUUCCAAAACUUCUUAGGUACCGAAGACUCCACCAGCAACGUCCUAACCUCAUCCAACAAAGUACGAUUUAACCUUUCCGCUUUACCAUUCUGUUGGGGGAUGUACGGGGCGGAAAAUUCAUGCCUAAUACCCCGUUGUUUGCAGAAUUCCUUUAUUUUUGCGUUCACGAAUUCGCCACCUCCGUCGGUUCGCAUGCCCUGUAAAAUAGAGCCACUUUGAACUUGUAGCAAAUUUACGCCCCUCUCAAUGAAGUCCGGGACAUCAGACUUAUGCUUAAUGGGCUGCACCAACGACACCCCAGUAUAGUCAUCCAACAGAGUGACGAAAUACCUAUGGCCACUCGAGGACACAGGCAAAGGACCACAUACAUCUAAAUGCACCAACUGCAACGGUCUCUUAGUUACCGUUGGGAUGACAGACUCAACAGGCCUGGAGGAUUCCACAGCGGGUACCGCACUACUCAUGAACUUGUAAAGGCCUGACGCACAUUUAGUAGCAGAGAUGUGCGUGCCUCCCCUCGAUAUAACUGCCUCCGAGUCCUCAAAGCUAAUCCUAAAGCCCUUGUUCGUCAGGACCGAAACAGAGAUCAGGUUAUGCUUAAAAUUUGGCACGUAAAAUACUCCCUCAAUCGUGAUGUUAGGAGCAUGGGUCGGCACCACAUUGCCGUAACCCUCGGCCUGCAGCACGUUCCCGUUACCGACCUCUAUCGUAAUAGACAAAUCCGGGUCAAUCCGGCAGUAGUUAUGGAGGAUACUUCGGUCGCCCGUAACAUGGUAUUUGCUACCGGAAUCUAACCACCACGGGUUCUCGGGGUACUGCGAAACUACCCUCUGAAUCAUCUCUAUAAAUGGAGCCCGCCCCAAAGCUACGGACGCGCUCCUAGGAGGAUUACAAACGUAGUAAUCGAGACUCUCCUCAUCUCUAGUCUGCUGGGGAACGAAUUGCUGUUCUCGAGCCACCAGCGUAAGCGCAACGACCUCCGGUUUCCGUUCGGUGCUCCUAGGGAAACCCUGCCGCUUGCGAUAACACUUCUCCGACAGGUGACCCGUCUUCCCACACCAGUCGCACCGCAACUCCGACCCACCGUUCGAACGACCCGAGCCUGAAGGACCAGAGCCGCUGGCCUUCAUUGAACAGUCCCUCGCGUAGUGGUUUCCGCCACAGACGAAGCAGCUAACCCUACGGCCACCGCGUCCGGCGUAUAAUGCCAUCGCCGUGUCUGGCUCGGUCCUCCUUGAAGUUAGACGAUUUGCCUCCGCAGCCAAAAGCUUCUCCUUUAGCUCCUGAAAGUUCUUCGGAUAAGAGGACGUAACAAAAAUUCUCUUCUCCGUCUCAUACAAAGCAUCGGGCAGGCCACGAACAACUAACACAAUCGCAUUUUUCUCCGAAAUGCAAAAAUCUUUAUACCUAUUCAACUUCUCGUACAUACUGACCGCGCGGGUCAGAUAGUCGUGCACUCUCUCGUCAUGGUGCAUCGUAAUAGAGUGGAAAGAUUGUGAGACUGCGCCCAACUCAGCCUCAUUCAGCUGCCCAGCCCACUGCUCAAGGCCCGCCCAGAGAUCCUUAGCAUUGGUGGUCGACUCGAUAAGAAUCUUGUGUUCGACAGACGCAAGCCGAAGGAUUAUCAGUGCCCGAGCCUUCCUUAUCUUUCGCAACUCCUUCUCCCGCUCCGUAGGAUCCUCGGGUAAAACGUAGUCCUGGCGGACGACUGACGCCAGAUCCUCACACUCCAAGAUGGCCUUCAUCUUGAUGAACCAGUCGCCAGAGUUGGCGACCAUUAGCACAUCUCUCCAACCAGCGAUGUCGGACAUUCUUUCAAAGAAUCACGUAUGACUCAAGAAAUGGGUGUUUAAAAUGUAUGCGCUCAACAAAGCGUACGAUCACUGCAGCCACCGCAACGUCAAGCGGGGCUCAUAACCUGUUGUGACUAUUCGUAAAUAGCCAGAAAUAGCUGAGACACGAUCCAGUUAAGCACGAGCUGGAUAAGCGAGCUGACACUAUGCCCUAUCUCGAAGGACACUCCAAAGUCCCAAUGAGCAAUAGUUGUUACAAUCAGCUGAAUAAAGAAGUCUUGCCUCAGGGUAUAAAUAGUACCAAUAGAUCAGGUCCGUACGAUAAGACCCAACUAUGAAUCACACCAAUCGUAGUACAACGCUUAUCGCGACAUCAAGCUAUAAAAGCCUAGGAAGUCUGACCGGAAUUACAACACUGAUGGUCGCCAAUUCUG